CGCUAUCGCUUACUUCCGGUAUACUUCCGGGAAAUUUGCAUAAAACUAGCAAGUGAGCUUUGUUCUCUGUACUAAUCUCAAGAUUGAAUGCUAGGUUGUAGCAAAUAAAAAUGCGAUUUUCAAGUUUUGUGAGCAUCUUAAGUCCAGUCCUUAAUAAUGAGUUUUUAGGCGUGUCUAAUAGAUGGCGUGUUAAUUUAUUGUUUCAGUUUUGGGCUUAUGGCGGUUUGCUGUCAAAAGUUAAUCUUUUCUUCGAAAAUUACCAAUGUAUUUACAGGAGAAAACGUGUUGAAAGGGUCGUGCAGCUUACUGCUGUCAACCAUUUAUGUGUUCAAAAUCAUUGUAUUCUACUGAAGGUGCCAUCAAAAUGAAACAGGAUUCAUCAUAAUUGCCUGCUGUUUGUAUCGGACCAAUCCCAGCCAUGCCCGAUUUUGAGUGUAGACUACUAACUGUUUAAUCAUUUCUAGAUCAUAGAUGUCAAUCACAUUGAUAACACAAACUAUAAACAAGAUUUGAUGAGAAGUCAUAUUUUGAAGGAAAAAGACAAGGACUACACGCAGUAAACAAGGUUCCUUAAUUGCUAACCCGUUGGCUGCUACCCUUCAAUCUCCCUGUUUACUUCCAUACACAGGUCCUAUUGAUUUGAGGGUAACUCUUUCGCUACUGAUGACAUCAACUGUUGUAAACUGACGAGAGAAUGCUGCAAUUCAAGACUAGCAACAUUGUGUAGUUGUUAGAUAAAUGGCAAGUGCAUAUCUGGGCUCCCUUCUUUUCUGUGGCCCCGUUUCCCUAACUAACCACUAACCAACGCC
Molecule: long non-coding RNA, 809 nt
Filed under: Daphnia pulex (common water flea)
Lineage: Eukaryota; Metazoa; Arthropoda; Branchiopoda; Diplostraca; Daphniidae
Description: uncharacterized LOC124210574, transcript variant X2
Source: RNAcentral